CAGUGUUCCCUGCCCUUCGGGGUAGGAUCGCCACCCUUGAUUAUUUAUGAGUGUUGCUUUGGCGGGCCUCGCGGCCUGGCCGCGCCCCGGCUUCGGCGGGGGAGCGCCCGCCAGAGGAUUCUACAAACCUGAUUAUUAGUGUCGUCUGAGUACUAUAUAAUAGUUA
This 166-nucleotide unclassified non-coding RNA is filed under the name uncultured Leotiaceae. Its description in RNAcentral is "sequence contains ITS1". The record is from RNAcentral. Lineage: Eukaryota; Fungi; Ascomycota; Leotiomycetes; Helotiales.